Molecule: ribosomal RNA, 529 nt
Filed under: uncultured bacterium
Lineage: Bacteria
Description: bacterial SSU rRNA
Rfam family: Bacterial small subunit ribosomal RNA
Source: RNAcentral
AAUAGAUACCCAGGUAGUCCACGCCGUAAACGAUGAGUGCUAAGUGUUAGGGGGUUUCCGCCCCUUAGUGCUGCAGCUAACGCAUUAAGCACUCCGCCUGGGGGAGUACGGCCGCAAGGCUGAAACUCAAAGGAAUUGACGGGGGCCCGCACAAGCGGUGGAGCAUGUGGUUUAAUUCGAAGCAACGCGAAGAACCUUACCAGGUCUUGACAUCCUCUGACAACUCUAGAGAUAGAGCGUUCCCCUUCGGGGGACAGAGUGACAGGUGGUGCAUGGUUGUCGUCAGCUCGUGUCGUGAGAUGUUGGGUUAAGUCCCGCAACGAGCGCAACCCUUGAUCUUAGUUGCCAGCAUUCAGUUGGGCACUCUAAGGUGACUGCCGGUGACAAACCGGAGGAAGGUGGGGAUGACGUCAAAUCAUCAUGCCCCUUAUGACCUGGGCUACACACGUGCUCAAUGGACGGUACAAAGAGUCGCAAGACCGCGAGGUGGAGCUAAUCUCAUAAAACCGUUCUCAGUUCGGAUUGCAGG